GACGAACGCUGGCGGCGUGCUUAACACAUGCAAGUCGAACGGAAAGGCCAUGCUCUUGUGGGGCGCUCGAGAGGCGAACGGGUGAGUAACACGCGAGUAACCUGUCCUUGACAUUGGGAUAACUCCAGGAAACUGGGGCGAAUACAGGAUAGGAGAUCCUGAUGCAUGGUGGGGGUUGGAAAGAUACGGCGGUUGGGGAUGGACUCGCGGCUUAUCCGCUUGUUGGGGGGGUAGUGGCUGACAAAGGCUUCGACGGGUAGCCGGCCUGGGAGGGUGAACGGCCACAAUGGGACUGCGAGACGGACCAGUCGCCUACGGGAGGCAGCAGUGGAGAAUAUUGCACAGUGGGCGGAAGCCUGAUGCAGCGACGCCGCGUGCGGGAUGACGGCCUUCGGGUUGUAAACCGCUUUCGCCUGUGACGAAGCGUGAGUGACGGUAAUGGGUAAAGAAGCACCGGCUAACUACGUG
RNAcentral lists this ribosomal RNA (468 nucleotides) under uncultured bacterium. Its description in RNAcentral is "partial 16S ribosomal RNA". It matches the Rfam family "Bacterial small subunit ribosomal RNA", at positions 28 to 507 of the family's 1533-position model. The record is from RNAcentral.